UUAGGCAGCAUACCACCCUGCAUCCCACAGCUGGCUUGCUUCUGAAGCUAAGCAGGGUUGGUCCUGGAUGGGAGACCAGAUGCUGCUGGAA
This 91-nucleotide ribosomal RNA is filed under the name Hucho hucho (huchen). The record is from RNAcentral. Lineage: Eukaryota; Metazoa; Chordata; Actinopteri; Salmoniformes; Salmonidae.